AAUCAACGCUGGCGGCGUGCCUCAGACAUGCAAGUCGAACGCGAAAGUCCCCUUCGGGGGACAAGUAGAGUGGCGCACGGGUGAGUAACACGUAGGUAAUCUACCUUCGGAUGGGGAAUAACAACCGGAAACGGUUGCUAAUACCGCAUAAUGCAGCGGCACCUAAUGGUGACAGUUGUUAAAGCGGGGGAUUGAAAGACCUCGCGUCUGAAGAGGAGCCUGCGGCGGAUUAGCUUGNGGUUAGGGUAACGGCCUACCAAGGCGACGAUCCGUAGCCGGCCUGAGAGGGCGGUCGGCCACACUGACACUGACAUACGGGUCAGACUCCUACGGGAGGCAGCAGUCGGGAAUUUUGGGCAAUGGGCGAAAGCCUGACCCAGCAACGCCGCGUGAAGGAUGAAAUCCCUCGGGAUGUAAACUUCGCAAGAACGGGAAGAAUAAGUAGGGGACAACCACCCCCUAUGAUGACGGUACCGUUUGUAAGCUCCGGCUAACUCCGUGACAGCCGCCGCAGUAA
Molecule: ribosomal RNA, 517 nt
Filed under: uncultured bacterium
Lineage: Bacteria
Description: bacterial SSU rRNA
Rfam family: Bacterial small subunit ribosomal RNA
Source: RNAcentral